Molecule: ribosomal RNA, 498 nt
Filed under: uncultured bacterium
Lineage: Bacteria
Description: partial 16S ribosomal RNA
Rfam family: Bacterial small subunit ribosomal RNA
Source: RNAcentral
GACGAACGCUGGCGGCGUGCCUAAUACAUGCAAGUCGUGCGGACCUUUUAAAAGCUUGCUUUUAAAAGGUUAGCGGCGGACGGGUGAGUAACACGUGGGCAACCUGCCUGUAAGACUGGGAUAACGCCGGGAAACCGGGGCUAAUACCGGAUCGUUUUUCCUCCCCAUGGUGUAAAAAGGAAAGGCGGCUUCUGCUGCCACUUACAGAUGGGCCCGCGGCGCAUUAGCUAGUUGGCGGGGUAACGGCCCACCAAGGCAACGAUGCGUAGCCGACCUGAGAGGGUGAUAGGCCACAUUGGGACUGAGACACGGCCCAAACUCCUACGGGAGGCAGCAGUAGGGAAUCUUACGCAAUGGACGAAAGACUGACGGAGCAACGCCGCGUGAGUGAAGAAGGCCUUCGGGUCGUAAAAAUCUGUGGCCGGGGAAGAACAAGUGCCGUUCGAACAGGGAGGCGCCUUGACGGUACCCGGCCAGAAAGCCACGGCUAACUAAGUG